Triticum aestivum (bread wheat) is the source of this 115-nucleotide non-coding RNA. The record is from Rfam. NCBI's taxonomy places the organism in Eukaryota, Viridiplantae, Streptophyta, Magnoliopsida, Poales, Poaceae.
CAUGUACUCCUUCUGUUCUGAAUUACUUGUGGCAGGUAUGGAUGUAUCUAGAUGUAUUUUAGUUCUAGGUACAUCCAUUUCUGCGACGAGUAAUUUGGAACGAAGGGAGUAUGUA